Molecule: long non-coding RNA, 337 nt
Organism: Drosophila montana
Lineage: Eukaryota; Metazoa; Arthropoda; Insecta; Diptera; Drosophilidae
Exons: 4
Source: RefSeq, a predicted model, not a curated record
AUUUCGAUUGGCUGUUUACGGCCACACCGCCACAUCCAUUUCUUUUCCUUCGCAACGCAGCUGUAGUCAAGUUCACUUUUCUUGCGCUCCUGAAAAUAAUUAAUAUAUUAAUAAAAUGAUUUUGAGGUAUUGGUGAACAUAGUAAAAGCCGCGGCUUGGAAAAUGAAUUGAAAAUGUAUUGCACCUGGCUGUGAUGCACUGAAAAACCAUGCGCACGUGUUGCCUGGAUUAGUAAGCAGGGAAUAUCCACGUGUUGGCGCAUCUUUGGCCUGUUCACCAUGCUUGAGUUGCGGUUGCAGACCACAGGCGAGUGAGGGGUUAUCUAUGGAAAGAGGUG